Molecule: transfer RNA, 72 nt
Filed under: Diaphorina citri (Asian citrus psyllid)
Lineage: Eukaryota; Metazoa; Arthropoda; Insecta; Hemiptera; Psyllidae
Rfam family: tRNA
About the family: Transfer RNA (tRNA) molecules are approximately 80 nucleotides in length. Their secondary structure includes four short double-helical elements and three loops (D, anti-codon, and T loops).
Source: Rfam by way of RNAcentral
GCCUAGUUAGCUGAUUUUUAGUGCGUCUGCCUUGUAAGCACUAGGGUGCGGGUUCGAUUCCCGCCCGGGGCG